UGCUCACCGUCACCUGAGUCGGAACACUGACCUUCCUGCUAAGAGGCUGGAGAGCAGAAUCCUGUGGGGAAGAUGAGAGCAGAGAGCUUACGGACGCUGGGAACUACUGGACAGGAUUAAAUGAGGCGUUCUGAGUGUCUGCGGCGUUCUGACGAUUUCGAGAUAUUCCACAUCGGUGUCCCUGUACCACGCAUAAUAACCCGACUUCCCCCGAUGAAGGAAAGAGAUGCCACUCGUCACUCUUCUGGAGCUUCAGGUCACUCACUGGUGGCAGGAGAGAUGAAGAGGAACCCUUGAGAAAAUUCUCUUGCAUCCUGGUGGAAGAGAUGACCCACCCAAACCAGUGGCUCAUCUGGAAGAACUGACUCAACUGGUCUGUGAUCGUCACCCAGGAAGUGACUUAGCAAAGAAGAUAAUUUCUACACCACUGUGUUUCUGCCCCGCCCCCCCCCCCACACACACACACACAACCAAUUACCAGAUUCAACUGCUUAGCCCUUUGGCCUGCCAAACUAUUUUUAAA
Long non-coding RNA from Otolemur garnettii (small-eared galago), 523 nucleotides. RefSeq lists it as uncharacterized. Lineage: Eukaryota; Metazoa; Chordata; Mammalia; Primates; Galagidae. The transcript is spliced from 4 exons. The record is from RefSeq and is a predicted model, not a curated record.